This 836-nucleotide ribosomal RNA is filed under the name Parachaetomium subspirilliferum. Its description in RNAcentral is "partial large subunit ribosomal RNA". It matches the Rfam family "Eukaryotic large subunit ribosomal RNA", at positions 68 to 938 of the family's 3401-position model. Lineage: Eukaryota; Fungi; Ascomycota; Sordariomycetes; Sordariales; Chaetomiaceae. The record is from RNAcentral.
ACAGGGAUUGCCCUAGUAACGGCGAGUGAAGCGGCAACAGCUCAAAUUUGAAAUCUGGCCUCGGCCCGAGUUGUAAUUUGCAGAGGAAGCUUUAGGCGCGGCACCAUCUGAGUCCCCUGGAACGGGGCGCCAUAGAGGGUGAGAGCCCCGUAUAGAUGGACGCCUAGCCUGUGUAAAGCUCCUUCGACGAGUCGAGUAGUUUGGGAAUGCUGCUCAAAAUGGGAGGUAAAUUUCUUCUAAAGCUAAAUACCGGCCAGAGACCGAUAGCGCACAAGUAGAGUGAUCGAAAGAUGAAAAGCACUUUGAAAAGAGGGUUAAAUAGCACGUGAAAUUGUUGAAAGGGAAGCGCUUGUGACCAGACUUGCGCCGGGCGGAUCAUCCGGUGUUCUCACCGGUGCACUCCGCCCGGCUCAGGCCAGCAUCGGUUCUCGCGGGGGGAUAAAGGCCCUGGGAACGUAGCUCCUCCGGGAGUGUUAUAGCCCAGGGCGCAAUGCCCUCGCGGGGACCGAGGUUCGCGCAUCUGCAAGGAUGCUGGCGUAAUGGUCAUCAGCGACCCGUCUUGAAACACGGACCAAGGAGUCAAGGUUUUGCGCGAGUGUUUGGGUGUAAAACCCGCACGCGUAAUGAAAGUGAACGUAGGUGAGAGCUUCGGCGCAUCAUCGACCGAUCCUGAUGUUUUCGGAUGGAUUUGAGUAGGAGCGUUAAGCCUUGGACCCGAAAGAUGGUGAACUAUGCUUGGAUAGGGUGAAGCCAGAGGAAACUCUGGUGGAGGCUCGCAGCGGUUCUGACGUGCAAAUCGAUCGUCAAAUCUGAGCAUGGGGCGAAAGACUAAUCGA